Molecule: small nuclear RNA, 310 nt
Filed under: Carlito syrichta (Philippine tarsier)
Lineage: Eukaryota; Metazoa; Chordata; Mammalia; Primates; Tarsiidae
Description: 7SK RNA (ENSTSYG00000023673.2)
Rfam family: 7SK RNA (bases 1-259)
About the family: 7SK was discovered as an abundant small nuclear RNA in the mid-70s but a possible function has only recently been suggested. Two independent studies have found that 7SK RNA binds the CDK9/cyclin T complex (known as elongation factor P-TEFb). P-TEFb activates transcription by phosphorylating the C-terminal domain of RNA polymerase II.
Source: RNAcentral
GGGCAAUCUCACUGUGACAUCUGUCACCUCAUUGAUUGCCAGAGUUGAUUCAGCUGAUCUGGCUGCCCAGGUGGAUGUCCCCUUCCUCCCAUGUGUAUCCCUCCUGAAGCUGUGCACUCAGUCGAAGAGGACGACCAUCCCCGCUAGAGGAGGACCAUUCUUCAGUCAGGGGUUUACGAGUAGCUGCUCUCCCCGCUAGAACCUUCAAACAAGCUCCCUUAAGUCUUUGCUAUGGUUCAUCAGUUAUCUACUUGCCAGUGACCAUAGAGGACAAAAGAGACUAAAGAACAAAUGGUAAAUUAUAUCCAUU